This is a long non-coding RNA of Nicotiana attenuata, 694 nucleotides long. RefSeq lists it as uncharacterized. The record is from RefSeq and is a predicted model, not a curated record. Lineage: Eukaryota; Viridiplantae; Streptophyta; Magnoliopsida; Solanales; Solanaceae. The transcript is spliced from 2 exons.
ACAGAAAACUGCAUGAAUAGGACAGUCUGUUUUCAUUUUCCUAGUUAAAUAUUGGUGCUUCAAAGAUGCAAUUAACAUUUUCUAUUUGAAAGGGUUGUUGGGGUGCUAAAGCUGGAAUAGUUCUUCAGAAAUGGCCAGCGCAUUUAUAAAAACAAUAAGUCAAUUAUGCUGCUUAUGGACUAUAGAUUUUAGUACACCCGUUAAGAAAUAUAAUCCCCUUAAAGGUUGUCGAUUAAGUAUAGACUAAAGGUAGCAUCUGCUUAAAGGGAUUUGAGGUGGUGUUUCUUUUAGAACCUGAAGAAAACUACCCAGUUCUUUGGGCAUAACUGCUGGUUGCUAUUGGUUGACUCGUUUAUUUGUAGAAAAUGUCCGAAACCAAUACAGAGAAUCGAAAUAAGUUGAAGUGUCCGCACACUGCUGGCAGAACACCUUUUGCUCUAAUUCGUGAGGUUUUUACAUUUCUUUUGUCGAAUGUUGCUGCAAAAUAGAUCAUCUUUUUUACUACUUACCAACUGUCCCGCAUACCAAAUGGAUGAUGAAGACGAUGAAGAACUAGACCUUACUUGAAAUGAAUUUUGAAUUGUUACAGAUGAAUGUUCUAGGAAUCUUUUGUUACCAACAUUUUUGAACUUAUUUACGCUCUUUAAUUGUACUAAAUUUAUGCACUCAUGGGGUAGAACAUUUGCUUUAUGGA